This 4361-nucleotide long non-coding RNA is filed under the name Taeniopygia guttata (zebra finch). RNAcentral's name for it is "lncRNA (ENSTGUG00000023638.1)". The record is from RNAcentral. Lineage: Eukaryota; Metazoa; Chordata; Aves; Passeriformes; Estrildidae.
UUUUUUUUUUUUUUUUUUUUUUUUUUCCAAUGAGCUAUAUAAUUUCUGCCUGACUCUGCCUCCAGCCUACUGCAAUGCCAGCUUUUUGUGCACGGGGCUAUUUCUUGACUAAAAGAUGUUACACAACAGAAUAGUUUUUGAUAUCAAACUGAGAGUCUAUAUUCUAAUCUACUCAGGGUAAAUCAAAUCCAAACCCCCCCCUUCCACCAAAAAGCCUGUAAUGUUGCAAUAAAUGCAGUCUCAUUCUAAAUGGUUUAUUUAUGCUGCAUUAUUUUAAAAUAUGUAAUUUUAUAGUUUUUAUCCAUCUUUCUGGCUUUGGCUGUCAGUUUUCUGUGUUAAAGGAAAGAAUAUUAAAUAGUCUUUAUUCAGUUUACAGUGUUGUCAUUAUGGGGAGUGUCCUGCACUCAAUUUAGGAGUACAAACUGUAGUGGAUAGAGGUCUUUCACUCUUUGUGUUUGAUCAGAGCUGCUCUCUGUACCUCUGGGGAAGGAGACCCCUGUGAGUGCUGCCUGGUGAUCAGCGGGUGUUAAAUCCUCCUGUGAUAUGCUCAGUGUAGGUGACCACCACUGAGCCUGGCUUCAGCCACCUCUUGUGCUGUUCCCCUGAGAAUGCAGUGCCCAGGCACGGGUGGAAAGGGACUGAAGGGAGCUGGCCUUCCCUCCUGCACAGCUUCUGAGAGGUGCAGAGGGGAAAGAACCACGUCCUGUGAGGGCAGACGGGUGUGCCAGGAGCACUCCGUGCCUGGGCCACGCCGUGUGUCUGUGCCAGGGCAGAGAGCUCGGUGUUGGCAGCUGCAGGGAUGAACUCGAGGGCAUCCCACGUACUGCUGGUGUUUCCUCUGGGUGUGUGACAGGGCUGUUGUAGAGUCCUGCAGCUACAAGGUUUGGUAUCCACAAAACAGGUUAACAAAGCAUUUCUUGUUUUGUUCCUGUCAUGGCAAUCCUUGGAGGGCAGCGAGGUGGUGGCUCCUUUGUUUUUCUCCUACAGCUUCAUGUUGUGCUGCAGUUGAAUUGCAUGGCAGCAAGAACUGCUUUGAACACAAAAAACAUAGUCCCAAGCCUGCAUGGUUGGGACUGUCCUCGCAGAGGAGUUUCCUGCCAGCUGCUCUGCCUAGAGCUCCACUUGGGAGGGGAGUGGGCGCUGCCUGGGGUCCUCUGGUGCCUCUCACUGUGGCUUGGGCAUUUUCUUUGGCCAAGAGCAGCUGUGGUGUUUGAGGGUCAGUGGGUGUGGAUGUGUGCCCGUGGGAGACUGUGAUGCAGGAGUGUGACGAUUCCCCAGGAGUUGUGGGGGUUGCCUCUGAUGGGGACAAGGGUCCCAGAUGUGGCCUGCACUGUGACAGCUGGGCAAUUCAGCAACGCUUCUGAGCCUUCGCAGCCUUCAGGGAGGCUUUUUUACUUUUGCUACUUAUGACUUAGUCAACCUAAAACACGCUCCUGGUUGGGCCAGAGAGCAUCUUCAGAAACUCUCUUGUCACUGAAAUGAGUAGAAGAAACUACCAAAGUCUCUGAACUGGGAAGCUCAAUGUGAAGCUGCAGUGAUGGGCAGCAGUGCCCAGGGUCAAUCUCUGCUGUUUCUCUUCACAGCUGCUGGGUUUUUUGUUGUGUUCCAGGAAAAGCACUAUGUCCUGCUGAUUCUUUGGUGCAUUGGCUUUGCCAUUUCUCUCUUAUACAUGCAUCAGGCAGGCUGCAAUUCAGGUGGAACUGGUUAAAGCUUGUGCUGAGGCAGGAGCAUGUGAUUCUGUGAGCACACGGGCUGUGCAUCCACUGUGUUUUCCAGGUGUGUGCUGUUGUUGUUUAUCGUCCCAUCUGCUUUCCAGAGUGUUUUUGCUGCGUGUGUCUGAGAUGUUUUCACAUUUGUAUCAUCCCCAGUACUGUGUGAUCAGACUGUGCUCCAGGGCAGUCUGUGCCAUGCUGGGAUGGGAGGAGAUCCAAGGGCAGCAAAGCCCUGAGAUUCUGCAAGGCCAGAGAUUUUCCUGUCCUCUCCUUGCUGCUCCAGCAUUUAGUAUAUUCACUAUUACAUUAUUAAUGAAAGGGAGAGUUUCUGCCCUGGAUUCCCAGAAAAGGGUAAAUGUGUUGGAGUCUCUGGGAACAGCGUGCCUGCCUCUACAAAGUCUGCAUGAACCCCUUUAAUUAUCAGUCAGAGAGCAGAAGUGCACUGCUCUAGGUCACCUGUUUUGUGCUAGUGGGGGUUUACUUGGUCACUCAUAGUUUCUAGAUGGGUGUAGAAGCUCAAAUAUGUAGAGGGGGUCAAGUUACUGACUUUGGUAGCUUUGGUCACCAAGCAAGGACCCAAGCGAGCAGACUUGGCAUGCAGCUGAAGGUUGGAGAAAUUGCUUUUUGUGCUUGUAGGUGGGGGGUGGGGGGGUGGGGUGGAAAAUCAGCACUGAUUGAAUGCUGGUACUGAAUUACAUGGAACAAAGUACGAGUUGGACACUUGUGUAAUGCUGAGUGUCCCCAGGAAAACAAGUUCGCAGAACCUCAUACUGGUAUCUAAAAUGCACUUUAGGUUAUUUUAUCUUUAACCCAAUUGCUGCAAUUUCUUUUGUAUAUACUUUCACAAAGUUUAUUUUUGCUCUGAGUAAAAGUUAACAGGGGUGUGCAAAGAUGAGCACUUAACUUGGUGCAAUACCUGUAGCUAAAGAUCCUUGUCCCGCGUGGUCCGUGUGUGUCUGUCUGACAGAACAGGCGUGGUGGGUGCUGUGCUGCCCUUCCCCGUGCCCCAGACAAAUUAUGCAUCGUUAGCAAACGUCCAAUCUAUGCAAAUAACCCUCUGAGAGCACUGUGCUUCAGCAGCCUUUUCUCUCACGCUUUCUGGGGGCUGCUUGUCACUCCUGUUGGACAUGCCGUGUCCCUUGAUAUGUGUCCUUCUUCCCCUGCCCUCAUUCUGUGCCCACGUGGGAACACAAGUGACGAGCUGCUUUCAAACAGGCAUGUUGCACCUUUGAAAUUUGUCUUCAAGAUGGUUUCUGAUGUCCUGUUACUGCCUUAUUUCUUGGGGGUGGCAUGGCUGUAGCCAUCCACGACGUUGUCCUUGAUGUGCAGCAAGGCUGUGAACUGUUCACAGCACUCCUGCUCCGAGACAAACCAGGGGCAGGGCUGGAGCCAGGGCCCCUUGGCGUGGAGCUGCGGGGAACAGAGCCCAGGGGCUGUCCUGGGGUGGCUGGAGAUGCUGUGGCUGGGGUGUUGUGAGCUGAGGCAGCCGGGUCAGUGGGGCAGGGCAGAGCAGCUCUGCUGUGGCUUCCACCGCUGGCCGGGGCUCAGAGCCUCGCGCUGCCUCGGAUCCUCCCCACGGAGCCAGGCCAGGCUGCUGUCUCCACGAAAUGAUUGGAGAUCUGUGGGUGAAAAGUUCUUGGCAGGAGUUACCUGAGCUAGCUGGAGUCAGUUUGGACUGUAAGGCAAAAUGAAGAGCAUGUCUUUAAUAAACCCUAUGAAUUUCUGACUGCAGAGUUUUUAAUUGUAUACUAUUUUUUCCGUAACAUAUUUUGGAAGCAAUGUCGAGUUUUUAUAAAUGUUACCUGUAGUCAAUUCUCAUGGACAGGGCUGAACUUUUAACUUUUUUGUGUCUUGUCUUGAUAUCUUAUCACAUGUUCUAGAAGUUGGAUUCUGUGUCUGCACUGAGAAAUGCAAAUUAAACUGGAUAUUUAUGUAGUAGUGUACAUAGUCUGAGUGUGUGUUUUUGGAACUAGGUGAAACCCCACACCAUGCUGCAGUGGUGUGCAAGCUGGCCAAAAUUUGGUUCAUUAUGCAGCGUACACUUUCUCAAAUGCAGUUUCUACUUUUUCUUAAAAAAAUAUUUUUUUUCACGUGACCUUUUCCGGCAGACUUGAGGGUGUGUUUGCAGUGCUGUAGUUGCAGUUGCUGGUGUUGCUGGUUUGUGACUCUCGUGUCCUCCCGCUGCUCGGGCUGACCCUGCUCUGUUUUGCCUCACCCAGCCCAAACCCCAGCCUGGCUCCACACCGGGGGCAGCUCCAGCUCCAGCUGAGCUGUCGGGGCUGGGGGGCUGCACUGCCUGGGACUUUGGAGACAGCUGAACUAAAUCCCAGUUUCUCAAGAAUGUGUGUAUGGUAAUAAAGGAAUUUAUUUAACUCUGAAACAUGGCAACAAAUGUGCUUACAUUGAGCAAUGUGAAGAUGUUAGUUACAGGUACAGUACUUCCAAAGGAAGAGCAUCUCCAAAACCCAAAAGAGUAAAUAUGAAUUUGUAUUUUUUGAAGAAUGUGAAAUAAUGGUGUUUGCUUAAUUGCUCAUUUUGUAUGAAGUUAAUAUUGUACUUUGAAAUAUCUGCAAAGAAGUGGAAAUUAACCUUUUUGGAAUUGAAAGCAAUAUUAAUACUAAUGGAAUCCUAAUUAAAUGCUUAUUUAAA